AAUUUGUUUUAUUUUUGUUAUUAAUUUUAUUUAAUGUUUAUUUUACAUGUAAAUUUUUGUAAGAAUUUUAAUUUAUCUAAAAGAUACUUUAUUUAAAAUUUAUUCGCAGUAAUUAAUAUUAUAAAUAAAAGAAAUUUUGAUUUAGUAAUUUAUUUUAGUAUUGGUAAAUUUUGUGCCAGCAACCGCGGUUAUACAAAUAAUGCAAAUAAAAUUUAUUAGUAAUAGUUAAUUUGUUUUUAUAAAAUUAAUUUAAAUUUUUUAAGUGAAAUUUUAAAUUUAAUUAAUUUUAUUUAUUUAUGUUAAUGAAGCUAGGAAAUUUUAAAAAUAAACUAGGAUUAGAUACCCUAUUAUUUAAAAUGUAAAUUUUAAUACUUGAGUAGUAAUAGUUAUGUUCUUCAAACUUAAAGAAUUUGGCGGUGUUUUAGUCUAUUUAGAGGAACCUGUCCUGUAAUCGAUAAUCCACGUUGGACCUUACUAAAAUUUGUUUUCAAUUUGUAUAUCGCCGUUAUCAGAAUAUCUUAAAAGAGCAAUAAUUUUCUUAAUUUAAAAAUAUAAUUGAUGUCAGGUCAAGGUGCAGUUUAUAUUUUAGUAGAGAUGGGUUACAAUAAAUUUAUUUAUACGUUAAAUUAUUUGAAACAAUAAUUAUAAGGUGGAUUUAAAAGUAAAAUAAUGGAUAUAAUUUGUUUGAUUAUAGCUCUAAAACAUGCACACAUCGCCCGUCGCUCUCAUUAUUAAAAUGAGAUAAGUCGUAACAUAGUAGAGGUAUCGGAAGAUGCCUCUAGAAUGAC
This 788-nucleotide non-coding RNA is filed under the name Simulium lundstromi. Lineage: Eukaryota; Metazoa; Arthropoda; Insecta; Diptera; Simuliidae. The record is from RNAcentral.